RNAcentral lists this ribosomal RNA (237 nucleotides) under Staphylococcus warneri. RNAcentral's name for it is "partial 23S ribosomal RNA". It matches the Rfam family "Bacterial large subunit ribosomal RNA", at positions 229 to 461 of the family's 2925-position model. The record is from RNAcentral. Lineage: Bacteria; Bacillati; Bacillota; Bacilli; Caryophanales; Staphylococcaceae.
AAUCGAUUCCCUGAGUAGCGGCGAGCGAAACGGGAAGAGCCCAAACCAACAAGCUUGCUUGUUGGGGUUGUAGGACACUCUAUACGGAGUUACAAAAGUAUAUAUUAGACGAAUCAUCUGGAAAGUUGAAUCAAAGAAGGUAAUAAUCCUGUAGUCGAAAAUAUAUACUCUCUUGAGUGGAUCCUGAGUACGACGGAGCACGUGAAAUUCCGUCGGAAUCUGGGAGGACCAUCUCCU